AUUGAACGCUGGCGGCAGGCCUAACACAUGCAAGUCGAGCGGAUGAAGGGAGCUUGCUCCUGGAUUCAGCGGCGGACGGGUGAGUAAUGCCUAGGAAUCUGCCUGGUAGUGGGGGAUAACGUCCGGAAACGGGCGCUAAUACCGCAUACGUCCUGAGGGAGAAAGUGGGGGAUCUUCGGACCUCACGCUAUCAGAUGAGCCUAGGUCGGAUUAGCUAGUUGGUGGGGUAAAGGCCUACCAAGGCGACGAUCCGUAACUGGUCUGAGAGGAUGAUCAGUCACCCUGGAACUGAGACACGGUACAGACUCCUACGGGAGGCAGCAGUGGGGAAUCUUGGACGAUGGGCGAAAGCCUGAUCCAGCCAUGCCGCGUGUGUGCAGAAGGUCUUCGGAUUGUAAAGCAAUUUAAGUUGGGAGGAAGGGCAGUAAGUUAAUACCUUGCUGUUUUGACGUUACCAACAGAAUAAGCACCGGCUAACUUCGUG
This 484-nucleotide ribosomal RNA is filed under the name uncultured bacterium. Its description in RNAcentral is "partial 16S ribosomal RNA". It matches the Rfam family "Bacterial small subunit ribosomal RNA", at positions 30 to 507 of the family's 1533-position model. The record is from RNAcentral.